GGUGCGAGCGUUAAUCGGAAUUACUGGGCGUAAAGGGCGCGUAGGCGGUUAUUUAGGUUAGAUGUGAAAUCCCUGGGCUUAACCUAGGAACUGCAUUUAAUACUGGGUAACUGGAGUGUGGUAGAGGGUAGUGGAAUUUCCGGUGUAGCGGUGAAAUGCGUAGAUAUCGGAAGGAACACCAGUGGCGAAGGCGGCUACCUGGACUGACACUGACGCUGAGGCGCGAGAGCGUGGGGAGCAAACAGG
RNAcentral lists this ribosomal RNA (246 nucleotides) under uncultured bacterium. RNAcentral's name for it is "partial 16S ribosomal RNA". It matches the Rfam family "Bacterial small subunit ribosomal RNA", at positions 531 to 776 of the family's 1533-position model. The record is from RNAcentral.